Molecule: long non-coding RNA, 1592 nt
Organism: Orcinus orca (killer whale)
Lineage: Eukaryota; Metazoa; Chordata; Mammalia; Artiodactyla; Delphinidae
Exons: 3
Source: RefSeq, a predicted model, not a curated record
UCCUGCUGGGAGCAGGGACAUUCUGAGCCCCAACCCAGGGCACGGCUACACGUCAGGGGUUAGGGCAGGCUCUCGGCCUGGAGGAUGCAGCUUUUUUGUUUGUUUUGUUUUUGUUUUUGUUUUUUUGCGGUACGCGGGCCUCUCACUGUGGUGGCCUCUCCCAUUGUGGAGCACAGGCUCCGGACGCACAGGCUCAGCGGCCAUGGCUCACGGGCCCAGCUACUCCGCGGCAUGUGGGAUCUUCCCAGACCGGGGCACGAACCUGUGUCCCCUGCAUCGGCAGGCAGACUCUCAACCACUGCGCCACCAGGGAAGCCCAAGGAUGCAGCUUUUGAGAAGGUAAUUCCCGUGAACUAAAUUAAUUCUUUAUUGAGUCAAUUCAUAAAUUCACUAAUUUGUUUUAACAAAACGUAUUGACCGCUUGCAGGGCUGGUACUGGUGCUGCACUAGACUCUGGAGGGCACGGCCUGUCAAUGCCAGUCCCGCCCAGGGAGCAGCCUGGGGCAGAGAGGAGCUGAGCCCUGCUGUCCACACAGGGGUCUUGGAAGCACUGGACUAGCUGCCAGUAAGUCUCGGCUGUUUCUGGAACAACCUCCCAAGAGUCGGCCCGGUUCUGCAGGAACCAGAGGAGCCCCGACGUGCAUAGAGCAAUGGCACACCCUGCCCUUCCCGUCCAGCUGUCCAAGGAGUUCCUUAGAAGAAUGUCCAUUGGAAGUGCCAUGCUGCCCCACGGCUGACGCACCUGCGGGCCUGCAUGAAGCGCUUCACCAGUGCCAUUUUGCUCUGCAGCUGCGCCAGCCUGGCCUCCUGGUCCAGUGGGCUCCUGGCCUUGGCCUUGGACAGGCACUUGUAGGCCUCAGUCAGUGCCCCGUGGGCCUUGUCGUAGUUCUGGUACUCGUCGAUCUCUACCUGCAGGAGGAGGCGUCAGGACCCAUGGGUCCUCCACCCACCCGGGGCCCCUGGAAGUGGGGGGUCGGUACCUGGGCACAGGCAUCGUAGAAGCCGGCCAGGAGGUCCAGGGACCGGCCCUUGGUGUAGAAGCUGAUGAUGCUCUUCAUGAUCUCCGGGUCCUUCCGCCAGUCCAGGGACUGCAGGUAGUUGGCUGCCAUGAUGUAGAUCUCCUUUUGCCUCGAGACGCCCGCAAAGAACACAAUUUUCUCAGUGUCCCCAGACUUGAGCAGUGCUCUCAUGGCCUGGACAGAGAAAGAGCCGGGCUGGCCCCUUCCUGGCAAGGUGGACAGAGCUCCCGCCCGACGCUGCAGGUGUGUCUUCAGGACAAGCGAGCUCUGGGCUGCAAAGUCUUGGCAGGCGCCCUCGGAACCCUGCCCAGAAGCUCAUCCCACAGGGCACCCAUGCGCCGGGCCGCACUCACCUUCAGCCUGUCCCCUGCCUGCGUGUACUUCUUGGUGGCCAGGUGGUAGUUGCCCUGGCGCAUGCAGCAGCUGGCAAUCUGCUCCAGCAGCUCACGCCGGGACUCUUCAGACAGCUCCUUGCAGUCCUUGGACACCGUCAUCUUUUCAGCCAUCUCCUCAGUGAUGGUCAAGUUCUGCUCCAGGCAGAGCUGCAGGGCUUCGUGAUACUGGGAAGGGCCA